GACCCUACGGGGGGCAGCAGUCGGGAAUAUUGCGCAAUGGAGGAAACUCUGACGCAGUGACGCCGCGUGCAGGAAGAAGGUUUUCGGAUUGUAAACUGCUUUAGACAGGGAAGAAACAAGACAGUACCUGUAAAAUAAGCUCCGGCUAACUACGUGCCAGCAGCCGCGGUAAUACGUAGGGAGCAAGCGUUAUCCGGAUUUACUGGGUGUAAAGGGAGCGUAGACGGUUAUGUAAGUCUGGAGUGAAAGCCCGGGGCCCAACCCCGGGACUGCUUUGGAAACUGUGUAACUGGAGUCCAGGAGGG
This 305-nucleotide ribosomal RNA is filed under the name uncultured bacterium. RNAcentral's name for it is "bacterial SSU rRNA". It matches the Rfam family "Bacterial small subunit ribosomal RNA", at positions 334 to 656 of the family's 1533-position model. The record is from RNAcentral.